CAAAGUCAUUUGAUGGAGAAAUGUUGAUAAAAAUGAUGACAAAGAAAAUUCUACUUCUUAGCAGAACCGUGAGAAAGAAUGGGGAAGAGUCCAUCAAAUGGACUGUACAAGGAAUCAGAAUGGCUUUGCAGUUCUCAAUCGCAACCCUGAAGUCAAGAUGACUGAAGAAAUACCUCAAAAUUCAAAAGAAUAAUAAUUUCUAAAAUAGAAUAUUAUACUGAACCAAAUUAUCUGUCAAGUAAAGACAUUUCAGAAAUACAUUCUAAAAGUAUAUAUUCCACCCACUCACUCACGAAAAGCUACUAACGGGUAUAUACUAAUAAAAUAAGAAAGGGUAAGUAAGCAAACAAAAAGACUUAAGUAUUAGAAAACAGGAGCCCAGGAAAGAGGCAAAAGGCCAGAAAAAUCCUCAGAUAGAGAAGAGAAAAAUCCCAGGGUGUCAGUCAUGCACAGACCUACACCACAAGCAGCACAGGCUGGAAAAGUAUCACUUAAGAAACAGAUGUCAAAUAGUCCUAAUUAAAUAUUUCUAUUUUCCCUAAGGACAGGUGCUAGGAUCAGGCUAGCAGAGAUUCUUACACAUUUGCCCUUUUAGCCUUGAUUAUAUGCUGAUGCUCUCCUACUCUCCUUUAAAUGCCCUGUGUUCUGAAGCAGCCAACUUCACUCAUUGCACAAAACAUUUUGUCUUUGGAUAAGCUUGAGACCUGCAAAGCAAGCCGGCGACCUUAAAAGGAAACAGAAUGUAGCCCUCUCUCUCACUACAUUGCUAUUGGGUAUUCAAUAUCAGUCCUGCUGGAUACCCUGAUUGCUGAGAGGGCCUCAGUCAGAACUUUGUAGGCUGACUUCUCCAAGAAGGCACUCUUGGAAACGGUAACGGUGCCUGAAGCCAAUGAAUCAGAGACUGCUCACUUUAUCUUCUCCCGGGAGUCUUCAUCUAAAGAAUGAAGUAACAACCCAAAAGACAAGACUGCAGAGCACUGAGAACUUGCUGGAAUGCUAGCACUCCACAGAUGGCUCUGUUCCAUUCAUUGAGAAGAUAGUUUCUUUAAAUUGUUAUAUCUAUACAUUUCUGUAUCCCACUGUUUUCAAAGAGUCAAGAAUGUAUAAUCCCAAUAAUAAAC
This 1121-nucleotide long non-coding RNA is filed under the name Homo sapiens (human). Its description in RNAcentral is "HSALNT0093328". The record is from RNAcentral. Lineage: Eukaryota; Metazoa; Chordata; Mammalia; Primates; Hominidae.